AGUGAACGCUGGCGGUAGGCCUAACACAUGCAAGUCGAACGGCAGCACAGUAAGAGCUUGCUCUUACGGGUGGCGAGUGGCGGACGGGUGCGGAAUACAUCGGAAUCUACUUUUUCGUGGGGGAUAACGUAGGGAAACUUACGCUAAUACCGCAUACGACCUACGGGUGAAAGCAGGGGAUCUUCGGACCUUGCGCGAUUGAAUGAGCCGAUGUCGGAUUAGCUAGUUGGCGGGGUAAAGGCCCACCACGGCGACGAUCCGUAGCUGCUCUGAGAGGAUGGAUAGACAGCUGGGAUCUGAGAAAGAGCCCAGACACCUGCGCUGGGACACAGCGGGGAAUAUUGGAGAAGGGAGGAAAGCGUGAUCUAGGCAUACGGGGUGGGGCAUGAAGGCGUUCGGGUUGUAGAGUGCUGUAGUUGGGAAAGAAAAGCAGCAGGUUAAUACCCCGCUGUACUGACGGUACCGAAAGAAUAAGCACCGGCUAACUUCGUG
This 492-nucleotide ribosomal RNA is filed under the name uncultured bacterium. RNAcentral's name for it is "partial 16S ribosomal RNA". It matches the Rfam family "Bacterial small subunit ribosomal RNA", at positions 29 to 507 of the family's 1533-position model. The record is from RNAcentral.